GACGAACGCUUGCGGCGUGCUUAACACAUGCAAGUCGAACGGAAAGGCCCUGCUUUUGUGGGGUGCUCGAGUGGCGAACGGGUGAGUAACACGUGAGUAACCUGCCCUUGACUUUGGGAUAACUUCAGGAAACAGGGGCUAAUACCGGAUAGGAGCUCCUGCUGCAUGGUGGGGGUUGGAAAGUUUCGGCGGUUGGGGAUGGACUCGCGGCUUAUCAGCUUGUUGGUGGGGUAGUGGCUUACCAAGGCUUUGACGGGUAGCCGGCCUGAGAGGGUGACCGGCCACAUUGGGACUGAGAUACGGCCCAGACUCCUACGGGAGGCAGCAGUGGGGAAUAUUGCACAAUGGGCGGAAGCCUGAUGCAGCAACGCCGCGUGCGGGAUGACGGCCUUCGGGUUGUAAACCGCUUUCGCCUGUGACGAAGCGUGAGUGACGGUAAUGGGUAAAGAAGCACCGGCUAACUACGUGCCAGCAGCCGCGGUGAUACGUAGGGUGCGAGCGUUGUCCGGAUUUAUUGGGCGUAAAGGGCUCGUAGGUGGUUGAUCGCGUCGGAAGUGUAAUCUUGGGGCUUAACCCUGAGCGUGCUUUCGAUACGGGUUGACUUGAGGAAGGUAGGGGAGAAUGGAAUUCCUGGUGGAGCGGUGGAAUGCGCAGAUAUCAGGAGGAACACCAGUGGCGAAGGCGGUUCUCUGGGCCUUUCCUGACGCUGAGGAGCGAAAGCGUGGGGAGCGAACAGGCCUAGAUACCCUGGUAGUCCACGCUGUAAACGGUGGGUACUAGGUGUGGGGUCCAUUCCACGGGUUCCGUGCCGUAGCUAACGCUUUAAGUACCCCGCCUGGGGAGUACGGCCGCAAGGCUAAAACUCAAAGGAAUUGACGGGGCCCCGCACAAGCGGCGGAGCAUGCGGAUUAAUUCGAUGCAACGCGUAGAACCUUACCUGGGUUUGACAUGGAUCGGGAGUGCUCAGAGAUGGGUGUGCCUCUUUUGGGGUCGGUUCACAGGUGGUGCAUGGCUGUCGUCAGCUCGUGUCGUGAGAUGUUGGGUUAAGUCCCGCAACGAGCGCAACCCUUGUUCACUGUUGCCAGCACGUUAUGGUGGGGACUCAGUGGAGACCGCCGGGGUCAACUCGGAGGAAGGUGGGGAUGACGUCAAGUCAUCAUGCCCCUUAUGUCCAGGGCUUCACGCAUGCUACAAUGGCUUGUACAGAGAGUGGCGAGCCUGUGAGGGUGAGCGAAUCUCGGAAAGCCGGUCUCAGUUCGGAUUGGGGUCUGCAACUCGACCUCAUGAAGUCGGAGUCGCUAGUAAUCGCAGAUCAGCAACGCUGCGGUGAAUACGUUCCCGGG
Molecule: ribosomal RNA, 1343 nt
Filed under: uncultured bacterium
Lineage: Bacteria
Description: 16S ribosomal RNA
Rfam family: Bacterial small subunit ribosomal RNA
Source: RNAcentral